Molecule: transfer RNA, 85 nt
Filed under: Methanobrevibacter sp.
Lineage: Archaea; Methanobacteriati; Methanobacteriota; Methanobacteria; Methanobacteriales; Methanobacteriaceae
Description: tRNA-Ser
Rfam family: tRNA
About the family: Transfer RNA (tRNA) molecules are approximately 80 nucleotides in length. Their secondary structure includes four short double-helical elements and three loops (D, anti-codon, and T loops). Further hydrogen bonds mediate the characteristic L-shaped molecular structure. tRNAs have two regions of fundamental functional importance: the anti-codon, which is responsible for specific mRNA codon recognition, and the 3' end, to which the tRNAs corresponding amino acid is attached (by aminoacyl-tRNA synthetases). tRNAs cope with the degeneracy of the genetic code in two manners: having more than one tRNA (with a specific anti-codon) for a particular amino acid; and 'wobble' base-pairing, i.e. permitting non-standard base-pairing at the 3rd anti-codon position.
Source: RNAcentral
GCCAUGGUGGCUGAGUCCGGCUUAAAGCAUUCGCUUGGAGAGCGGAAGUACGGAAGUACCAGAGGUUCAAAUCCUCUCCAUGGCG